GUAGGUGAACCUGCGGAAGGAUCAUUGCUGAUGCCGGCGGUCGGUCGAGCCCUCGAGAGGGGGUGAGGCCGCCGCUUCCAACAUCAUCUGCCCCUUUGUGAACCCGGCACCGGAGCGCCGAACGAGAGCGAGCUUUGGGGCCCGCACUCUUUCCCUUCCCCUCACGGGGAAAAGGAUAGGCUUCCUCUGCCCAACAACCUGUCUUUUAUUGCCUGUCUCCCCAGACUGAAGCAAAAAAAAACAAAAUAUU
This 250-nucleotide unclassified non-coding RNA is filed under the name plant metagenome. RNAcentral describes it as "partial contains small subunit ribosomal RNA, internal transcribed spacer 1, and 5.8S ribosomal RNA". The record is from RNAcentral.